Molecule: long non-coding RNA, 718 nt
Organism: Manis pentadactyla (Chinese pangolin)
Lineage: Eukaryota; Metazoa; Chordata; Mammalia; Pholidota; Manidae
Exons: 4
Source: RefSeq, a predicted model, not a curated record
CCAGACAGAUGGACCAUUUUUCCUUUCAAUUUACUGAGACAGAGAAGAAUUGAGGACUGAAGCAUGUCAUCACUGUAUCAUUUCCUCCUGAAUGUAUGAAAUCCUAACAGCUUAGAAUCAAGCACAGUUCUUGGCAUACAACAGGAGGAGAUUGAUAGUCUGUUGACUGAGUGAAUGAAUGAAUAAAUAAGGAGAUGAAAUUACUUUCUUCCACUGAAGAAGCUGCCCGCUGGGAAGGAGACAUGAACACUAAUUUUAAAAUGUUGAGUGCUGCUGGGAGGCUAGCCUGCACAGUGAGUCACAGUGGAGCUGUUCUGGACAACUAGGAAGCGUUGGCCAUCAUGAACAACAGGCUGGCAGAAACCAGUGGGGACAGGUCCAGCUGGAGAGCUGCCCCCAGGACCAAAUCUUUGGGACAAGCCUGACCAGCAUGAAAAUCAGCCAGAGGUGGUUCCACUGGUGGAUUCCCAGGAUCAGCAUCCAGAGUCCCCUGAAGAGCUAGAACCACUUCCAUUGAAGCAGGAGGUUUCGACUCAGCCUCCAUAGCCCCCGGAGAUGGAUGAGAACUACACAAACCAGCAGGUGGCCCUGGCUGAGCCUUCCUACACUCCUGAAGAGGCUGAGCCUCUAGUCCAGGAGGAAGCCCUAGCUCCAUCUUCAGCGCACCCUCAGGGGACACUUCCACAUCCCGGGCAGGUUCCCAGUCAGCGUCCAAACC